GUACACUCCUACGGGAGGCAGCAGUGGGGAAUUUUGGACAAUGGGCGAAAGCCUGAUCCAGCAAUGCCGCGUGAGUGAAGAAGGCCUUCGGGUUGUAAAGCUCUUUUGUCAGGGAAGAAACGGUGAGAGCUAAUAUCUCUUGCUAAUGACGGUACCUGAAGAAUAAGCACCGGCUAACUACGUGCCAGCAGCCGCGGUAAUACGUAGGGUGCAAGCGUUAAUCGGAAUUACUGGGCGUAAAGCGUGCGCAGGCGGUUUUGUAAGUCUGAUGUGAAAUCCCCGGGCUCAACCUGGGAAUUGCAUUGGAGACUGCAAGGCUAGAAUCUGGCAGAGGGGGGUAGAAUUCCACGUGUAGCAGUGAAAUGCGUAGAUAUGUGGAGGAACACCGAUGGCGAAGGCAGCCCCCUGGGUCAAGAUUGACGCUCAUGCACGAAAGCGUGGGGAGCAAACAGGAUUAGAAACCCCUGUAGUCCCAUGAU
RNAcentral lists this ribosomal RNA (479 nucleotides) under uncultured organism. RNAcentral's name for it is "partial 16S ribosomal RNA". It matches the Rfam family "Bacterial small subunit ribosomal RNA", at positions 331 to 801 of the family's 1533-position model. The record is from RNAcentral.